UGUCAGUACCACACGGGACUGGUUUCGGGUUUUCACAUUUAUUGUUUUGUAGUUUGUUCAUGUAUAGUUUUUCUUAUUAAAAAACCAUGAACUUCAACCACGCUGCGUAUUGGUCUGCCUCUCCUUCGACGGAUGAAGCCCGUUACAGUUCUCGAGUCAACAUGGGCCAGCAUACCUGUGGAACACUGUCGACACCUUGUAGAGUCCAUGCUCCGAAGAAUUGAGGCUGUUCAGGAGAUCAUCAAAUCAUCCUGACCAGUUCACAAAGACCUCAGAGGUUCCUCCAGGCAAAGAAUGUGAGCUACUGGUCUCCAGACAGACACACAGAGAGUCACCCCAACUGACAGACAGUAUCAGUCAGUCCGGGACAGGUCUGAGAACCAGGACAGCAUCGCUCAGUCACCACGCAUCCUGUGUGUGCAGACACACACCCUACUCUGGACCAACACAGCCAGGAUCCAAACAGCCAUGAAUCUCAGAACCCACAGAGAGAACUAGAGAAGGAGGCAGCUCUGCAGCCCUCAGCCACCCCAGAGGAGACUCAGGGCCCUACACCACCCCCACCAGAUCAUAGCCAUGCUCAGAGCCCUGCACCACCCCCACCAGAUCAUAGCCAGUGCUAGAAAAGGACAGGUCUGAGAACCAGGGCAGCGGAGACACACCCUCUUAGCUGGACCAAAAUCUCCAGAGACCAAACUACCAUGACCCCCAGAGCGAACUAGAGGAAGAAGAAAUACUAGACCUGCACAAUAACAGACCUGCACAUGAAGCCCAACCAGGAGAGACACCAGGACCUGUACACAGUAGACCACAAAUACAAGAACCAGACAAAUCAACACAUGCAGGAGUCCAACCAGGAGACUCAGUCAGGGGAACCAGCCAGGGGAGUAAAGAGAGAAUAAUGAUGUGGAAGAAUAAGGGAAAGGGCAAACAGGAAGUAAUAAAGAGACAGAGAAGAGAAAGACAAGGAGAAAAUAUAUGAGAAAUGGGAACAGAAUACAGAGGGCGACAUGAACGAGAGAUGGAGGAAGGAUAGGAGUAGGAGUAGAAGGAAUCAGACACAGAGAAUGAAGGAGUUGAUACCAACCAAACAUCCACCCAGAAUGAUGAGGAGAUGGAUGAGACACAUAUGAUAAACCCCAAUGAGCAGCACAUUAC
This is a long non-coding RNA of Oncorhynchus tshawytscha (Chinook salmon), 1158 nucleotides long. Lineage: Eukaryota; Metazoa; Chordata; Actinopteri; Salmoniformes; Salmonidae. The record is from Ensembl.